RNAcentral lists this ribosomal RNA (390 nucleotides) under uncultured bacterium. RNAcentral describes it as "bacterial SSU rRNA". It matches the Rfam family "Bacterial small subunit ribosomal RNA", at positions 28 to 419 of the family's 1533-position model. The record is from RNAcentral.
GACGAACGCUGGCGGCGUGCUUAACACAUGCAAGUCGAGCGGUAAGGCCCUUUCGGGGGUACGCGAGCGGCGAACGGGUGAGUAACACGUGGGUGACCUGCCCUCAGCUCUGGGAUAAGCCUGGGAAACCGGGUCUAAUACCGGAUAUGACUCCAUGACGCAUGUUGUGGGGUGGAAAGCCUUGUGCGGCUGAGGAUGGGCCCGCGGCCUAUCAGCUUGUUGGUGGGGUGANGGCCUACCAAGGCGACGACGGGUAGCCGGCCUGAGAGGGCGACCGGCCACACUGGGACUGAGACACGGCCCAGACUCCUACGGGAGGCAGCAGUGGGGAAUCUUGCGCAAUGGGCGAAAGCCUGACGCAGCGACGCCGCGUGAGGGAUGACGGCCUGG